CCCAACUUGAAAAUCUCCCUUUGGAGAAUUGUAGUCUAGAGAAGCGCCCUCUGCGGCGGCCGGAGCCUAAGUCCGUUGGAAAACGGCGUCAGAGAGGGUGAGAACCCCGUCGGCUCUAGGCUUAGCUGCUCCACGAGGUGCUUUCCACGAGUCGGGUUGUUUGGGAAUGCAGCCCAAAAUGGGAGGUACAUCCCUUCUAAGGCUAAAUACUGGCGAGAGACCGAUAGCGAACAAGUACCGUGAGGGAAAGAUGAAAAGAACUUUGAAAAGAGAGUUAAAAAGUGCUUGAAAUUGUUGAGAGGGAAGCGUUUGGAGGUUAUAGGUGCGCCUAGGCUUAUACNAUUCUAACGAGCCGUUGUAUGUGCUAGGUGCUGGUCAACAUGGGUUAGCCUGGCGGGAUAACAGCGGGGGUUGAUACCCCGUCUAUGCCGCCGGGUUGAUCAAGGUGUGAAUGGCGCUCUGUCCUUCGGGAACUGC
Molecule: ribosomal RNA, 477 nt
Filed under: Dunaliella tertiolecta
Lineage: Eukaryota; Viridiplantae; Chlorophyta; Chlorophyceae; Chlamydomonadales; Dunaliellaceae
Description: partial large subunit ribosomal RNA
Rfam family: Eukaryotic large subunit ribosomal RNA
Source: RNAcentral